Molecule: ribosomal RNA, 693 nt
Filed under: uncultured bacterium
Lineage: Bacteria
Description: bacterial SSU rRNA
Rfam family: Bacterial small subunit ribosomal RNA
Source: RNAcentral
GCAAGGGGUAAGUAGAGUGGCAAACGGGUGAGUAACACGUGGGUGACCUGCCUUCGAGUGGGGGAUAACGUCCCGAAAGGGACGCUAAUACCGCAUGACAUCCUGCGUUUGGAAACGCGGAGAUCAAAGCCGGGGAUCGCAAGACCUGGCGCUUGAAGAGGGGCCCGCGCCUGAUUAGCUAGUUGGUGGGGUAACGGCCUACCAAGGCAACGAUCAGUAUCCGGCCUGAGAGGGCGGACGGACACACUGGGACUGAGACACGGCCCAGACUCCUACGGGAGGCAGCAGUGGGGAAUUGUUCGCAAUGGGCGCAAGCCUGACGACGCAACGCCGCGUGGAGGACGAAGAUCUUCGGGUCGUAAACUCCUGUCGAGCGGGAAGAACGCUUCCCGGGUGAAUAACCCGGGGAGGUGACGGUACCGCUAAAGGAAGCCCCGGCUAACUCCGUGCCAGCAGCCGCGGUAAUACGGGGGGGGCAAGCGUUGUUCGGAAUUACUGGGCGUAAAGGGCUCGUAGGCGGCCAACUAAGUCGGAUGUGAAAUCCCCAGGCUCAACUUGGGAACUGCAUCCGAUACUGGAUGGCUUGAAUUCGGGAGAGGGAUGCAGAAUUCCAGGUGUAGCGGUGANAUGCGUAGAUAUCUGGAGGAAUACCGGUGGCGAAGGCGGCAUCCUGGACCGGCAUUGACGCUGAUG